GGGGCCAUAGCUCAGCUGGGAGAGCGCGUCGUUCGCAAUGACGAGGUCGGCGGUUCGAUCCCGCCUGGCUCCACCA
This 76-nucleotide transfer RNA is filed under the name Afipia carboxydohydrogena. Its description in RNAcentral is "[Pseudomonas] carboxydohydrogena tRNA-Ala". It matches the Rfam family "tRNA". From Rfam's summary of the family: Transfer RNA (tRNA) molecules are approximately 80 nucleotides in length. Their secondary structure includes four short double-helical elements and three loops (D, anti-codon, and T loops). Lineage: Bacteria; Pseudomonadati; Pseudomonadota; Alphaproteobacteria; Hyphomicrobiales; Nitrobacteraceae. The record is from RNAcentral. RNAcentral also lists the same sequence under 827 other names.